RNAcentral lists this long non-coding RNA (1926 nucleotides) under Manduca sexta (tobacco hornworm). RNAcentral's name for it is "uncharacterized LOC115443131". Lineage: Eukaryota; Metazoa; Arthropoda; Insecta; Lepidoptera; Sphingidae. The record is from RNAcentral.
GUACCUAAUUUAGUUUUUUAAUAAUAUCACCGGUAUCGCAGGUCAGUGAACUCUUGCACCUUCCAGCAGGUGUAUGUAAAUAUUUUUUGGCGUCGAGCCUAUGCAUCGAUGUCAUUACAACACGCUCCGCUUGUCGAUUUCUCAUACACGCGAAUUACUCACGUUUGAAAGCUCGAGAUGCUCAAACCCACGUGGACUCGAGUUGCGCCCGAGUAAUCGCGUAUACGCAAUAGGUACUUGUAAGGUUACUGAGCGAGUACUGAACUAAUGUACCUAUUAAUUAAGCAACGUGUAUUUUAAAUUUUGAGCAAUUAAAAUACCUCACGUUUAUUUAUUAUAUCUAUUAAUCAUAUUUCAAUAAUUUAAUAUUUUAUGACAGGUAAAAAUGUAUGAACUUACUUUUAUAUGACUGGUCUUAAAUGGCGUGACAUUUAAAUUAUACGUUUGAGUACAUUUUUCAUAACAGUCUAAUUCUUUUGAACUUUGCAAACAGUAUGCAAUUACCUUUUUGUUUAAUCUAUCGAAUAUGUACCUACUUCAGUGCAAUUUAAAAAAUGUCGCGAACAUCCAAGCGAAAGAGGCUACAAAGUGCUUUUUUGGAAAAUAAAUAUCCGGUGAGCAACGUAAAUUAUAACUUUUGUCACUGUGGCUUGAAAAUAUGUAGCGUAAACAAAAAGGGGACUGUUGAAAUGUCGGGCAGGCAUUUUAUUACAAUGAGUAAAACACUAUUAUAGCAGGUUUUUAAUUUUAAAGGGAACAAACCCUAUGGUGUUUGUUUGUAAAGUUCUGUUUGUUUGCGGUUCCGUGCGCUUGAAAAUCUUUUCUCGGAAUAAAAGGUUAGAGGGCUGGUGCAGUCUUUAGGAAUUACAAGUAGCUUUAGCUACUCUUUUGCCUAUUAACUAUAUUUCGGCCCCGCGUUGGUUCCUUCUUAACGUAUUAUUUACUAGCUUUUAUUUUCCGAGUCGCCCGCGUGAAAGAGAAAGGGAUAAAAGUACCGUUAUAAUUUUUUCCGAAAUAAAAAGUGACCUUAUCUCCUUUCUAAGAUCUUAAACUAUUUCCAUAUAAAAUUUCAUCGAAAUUCGUUCGUUAGUUUUUAAUUUAUCGCGUCCAGACAGACAGACUUACAGAUAGACAGACAGACGCGUGCCUGUCUGUCUGUAUAUUAAUACAACUGUUGAGUGAGAAAACUAAAUAGCUUCACAUUAUGGUAAGUGAGCGUAAAAAUACAUAAACAUUGAUGACAGCAUCCAGUAUUUUUAAUUAUUACGUCCUGCAUGGUACUGAUGGCAUUUAUUUUGUGACGCAAUUAAAUGAUGAUGAGAUGUCAAAUCUCAUAAUAUUUAGUACUACAUUGGUUUUAAAAAACUCUGAAAAACAAGACUGGUGGUAUCGGAAAAGUGGGGUAAAUAUUAAAUCAGACUGCUCUUGCACUCGGGAGGUCUACCGCCGCCUGAAAACAAUAUAUUAUGCAUUCAUGUAAUCUGUUCAAGCACAAUGUAAACCGUAUUUACACGAAAAACUUUCACGUUUGCGGUACAUCCAUUAAUUUAAAGAAAACAUUUCAAAAGUAUUUUGCUCGUGCUCUAGUUUUCAAAAUUCUCAACUCGAAUUAGACAUUUUCACGUCAAAACAUUUAAAUUGACACGAGUAACGUGUAAAUUAUGCAAAUAUUUAUUGAUGGAUUAGAAUUACGAUAUCUGUAGUAUGAUCAACAGCGCAGUAAUGUGUUUCAAGUGCCCGACCGCUAAAAUUAUUUUCGAGAGUUCUUGAUGAGAAAGUUAACGUGGUUCUGUAAUCUGUCGUACAAAAUGGAAUGCCUGUUUAAAAAGGGGGUCGUGCCAAAAAUAGUAAAGUAAUUAAAACGUUCUAGAAAAAUACUAUUACAUUUAAUCCGGUUAAGAAGUAAAGACAACGCGUACCUAUUUA